RNAcentral lists this transfer RNA (63 nucleotides) under Rhynchocinetes durbanensis. Its description in RNAcentral is "tRNA-Arg". Lineage: Eukaryota; Metazoa; Arthropoda; Malacostraca; Decapoda; Rhynchocinetidae. The record is from RNAcentral.
AAUUAAAAAGCGAACAAUCGCACUUAGUUUCGGCCUAAGCAUCUGAUCUUUGAUCUUUAAUUU